Long non-coding RNA from Aedes albopictus (Asian tiger mosquito), 411 nucleotides. RefSeq lists it as uncharacterized. The record is from RefSeq and is a predicted model, not a curated record. The transcript is spliced from 2 exons. NCBI's taxonomy places the organism in Eukaryota, Metazoa, Arthropoda, Insecta, Diptera, Culicidae.
ACUCUAAAAAGUAUUCACGUCCAAGUUACGUGAAAAAUCACGUACUUACUGGUUAUGCUUCUUCCGGUCUGUUUCACAUGAUUCCGGUGAUUCUCACAUGAGAUCAGUUCAGUUUCACCUUCAGUUCAGGUCACAAUGACGUGAUUUGCCUGUCUGAAAAAAUAUGAGUGAAGUUUCAUACUGAGUGACCAACAUGGCGGCAGUGGACGAGGCAGUGGAUUGGCAGCUGUUGUUAUCUGAAAACUGUUGUUUUAUGGAAAUCCGGUAAACUUUCAUAUUCAUCGCGAGAACAACGGCAACACAGCUGCAGUUUACGAGCCAGCAACAAUGGUCUACUUCUUAGUGCAAUGCAGAUGAUUGAUUUUUUUGUAUAAAUUUAACUUUAAUUUGAAAUAAAUUAGUGGAAAUGAA